UACAGAGGUCCCAAGCGUUGUUCGGAUUCACUGGGCGUAAAGGGUGCGUAGGUGGCAAGGUAAGUUUGAUGUGAAAUCUCCGGGCUUAACCCGGAAAUGGCAUUGAAUACUAUCUAGCUAGAGGUUUGGAGGGGGGACUGGAAUUCUCGGUGUAGCAGUGAAAUGCGUAGAUAUCGAGAGGAACACCAGUGGCGAAGGCGAGUCCCUGGACAACACCUGACACUGAGGCACGAAAGCUAGGGGAGCAAACAGG
This 253-nucleotide ribosomal RNA is filed under the name uncultured bacterium. RNAcentral describes it as "partial 16S ribosomal RNA". It matches the Rfam family "Bacterial small subunit ribosomal RNA", at positions 524 to 776 of the family's 1533-position model. The record is from RNAcentral.